GACGAACGCUGGCGGCGUGCCUAAUACAUGCAAGUUGAGCGAUGAAGAUUGGUGCUUGCACCAAUUUGAAGAGCAGCGAACGGGUGAGUAACGCGUGGGGAAUCUGCCUUUGAGCGGGGGACAACAUUUGGAAACGAAUGCUAAUACCGCAUAACAACUUUAAACAUAAGUUUUAAGUUUGAAAGAUGCAAUUGCAUCACUCAAAGAUGAUCCCGCGUUGUAUUAGCUAGUUGGUGAGGUAAAGGCUCACCAAGGCGAUGAUACAUAGCCGACCUGAGAGGGUGAUAGGCCACAUUGGGACUGAAGCACGGCCCAAAAUCCUACGGGAGGCAGCAGUAGGGAAUCUUCGGCAAUGGACGAAAGUCUGACCGAGCAACGCCGGGUGAGUGAAGAAGGUUUUCGGAUCGUAAAACUCUGUUGGUAGAGAAGAACGUUGGUGAGAGUGGAAAGCUCAUCAAGUGACGGUAACUACCCAGAAAGGGACGGCUAACUACGUG
RNAcentral lists this ribosomal RNA (497 nucleotides) under uncultured bacterium. Its description in RNAcentral is "partial 16S ribosomal RNA". It matches the Rfam family "Bacterial small subunit ribosomal RNA", at positions 28 to 507 of the family's 1533-position model. The record is from RNAcentral.